UACAGGGGGGGCAAGCGUUGCUCGGAAUCAUUGGGCGUAAAGCGCACGUAGGCGGUUCGUUAUGUCGGAUGUGAAAGCCCUUGGCUUAACCGAGGAAGUGCAUCCGAAACUGGCGAGCUAGAGUACGAAAGAGGAUCGCGGAAUUCCCGGUGUAGAGGUGAAAUUCGUAGAUAUCGGGAGGAACACCGGUGGCGAAGGCGGCGAUCUGGGUCGAUACUGACGCUGAGGUGCGAAAGCGUGGGGAGCAAACAGG
This 253-nucleotide ribosomal RNA is filed under the name uncultured bacterium. Its description in RNAcentral is "partial 16S ribosomal RNA". It matches the Rfam family "Bacterial small subunit ribosomal RNA", at positions 524 to 776 of the family's 1533-position model. The record is from RNAcentral.